RNAcentral lists this long non-coding RNA (1095 nucleotides) under Cricetulus griseus (Chinese hamster). RNAcentral describes it as "lncRNA (ENSCGRG00015031639.1)". The record is from RNAcentral. Lineage: Eukaryota; Metazoa; Chordata; Mammalia; Rodentia; Cricetidae.
GAGUGGUAUGGGUAUGUGCAUGUGUGCAUGUGUGGAUGUGUGCAUGUGUGCACUGUGCAAGUGUGCAUGUGUGCACACUUUGAUUGUCUGCUUGGGUGUAUGCAUGCUCUGAGUGUGUUCAUGCAUGAGUAUGUUUUCGAGCUUGCAUUUGUUUGGGUGUAUGCACUAUGUGCUUGUUUGUGCAAGCCUUGUGUUCAUGCAGGUGUGUCUGUGCAAUCCUGUGUGUGCAUGCAGGUGUGUCUGUGCAAGCCUUGUAUGCAUGCAGGUGUGUCUGUGCAAGCCUGUGUGUGCAUGCAGGUGUGUCUGUGCAAGCUUGUGUGUGCAUGCAGGUGUGUCUGUGCAAGCCUGUGUGUGCAUGCAGGUGUGUCUGUGCAAGCUUGUGUGUGCAUGCAGGUGUGUCUGUGCAAGCCUGUAUGUUCAUGCAGCACAUGGAUGCUGCUCUAACAGCAGUUCCCCAGGCUUCUUGUUCCUCCCUCACCCCAGCUCCACUUCCCACAGGAUGGUGACUGUGGCCUUCACAGGGCAGGGCAGCCACCAACUGGCCCUGGGAGGAGCCCUGCUUGGAUGUGUGUGUAUUGGGACUGGAAGCCUGGCACAAGUCAUCAGCCAAAUUAACUCAAGUUUCCUUUGGGGAAAAAUGUCAUCAGUUAUUUCAUUUGGGUCCAUUUUAGCAAAUUAACUUGUCUAGUAUUUCCUUCUUACUUGUUUUAUUGGGCAGAGGAGGGGAUGUGAAAACAGGAGGGGCUCAGUAGGGAGUAGAGCUCAACUGGGACAGUUGCUGGGAGAAGCUUUCCCUGGGGUUUGUGGCUGAGAUCGGCUGUGGAGGAAAAUGAAUCUGGGCUGAAGUGGGGUCUUGGCAGCAGAUGGGGGUUGACGGGACCUUAGGUCUGCUUGGGACCUGGGGUGGAGCCUACAUUGGAGAGGGGACCUCAGCAGUCAUGUGUUACCCACUUGGAGAGCAAUCCUAAGGUCCGAUGAGGCCUCCUGAAACACAUCAACUCCUGGCCAGAAGAAAUUAGUUCAGAAGAUUCCAUUGGGGCCACUCUAUGUGUCUGAUCUCACUGUAGUCACCGCCACAGGCACUGAAGGGCUCAG